AUUGAACGCUGGCGGAAUGCUUUACACAUGCAAGUCGAACGGUAGAGGGGGCAACCCCUUGAGAGUGGCGAACGGGUGAGUAAUAUAUCGGAACGUGCCCAGUCGUGGGGGAUAACGUAGCGAAAGUUACGCUAAUACCGCAUACGAUCUACGGAUGAAAGCGGGGGACCGUAAGGCCUCGCGCGAUUGGAGCGGCCGAUAUCAGAUUAGGUAGUUGGUGGGGUAAAAGGCUCACCAAGCCAACGAUCUGUAGCUGGUCUGAGAGGACGACCAGCCACACUGGAACUGAGACACGGUCCAGACUCCUACGGGAGGCAGCAGUGGGGAAUUUUGGACAAUGGACGAAAGUCUGAUCCAGCCAUUCCGCGUGCAGGAUGAAGGCCCUCGGGUUGUAAACUGCUUUUGUACGGAACGAAAAGGUUUGUCUUAAUACGAUGAGCUCAUGACGGUACCGUAAGAAUAAGCACCGGCUAACUACGUG
Molecule: ribosomal RNA, 481 nt
Filed under: uncultured bacterium
Lineage: Bacteria
Description: bacterial SSU rRNA
Rfam family: Bacterial small subunit ribosomal RNA
Source: RNAcentral